RNAcentral lists this ribosomal RNA (1358 nucleotides) under uncultured bacterium. RNAcentral describes it as "bacterial SSU rRNA". It matches the Rfam family "Bacterial small subunit ribosomal RNA", at positions 28 to 1381 of the family's 1533-position model. The record is from RNAcentral.
GAUGAACGCUAGCUACAGGCUUAACACAUGCAAGUCGAGGGGCAGCAUGGUCUUAGCUUGCUAAGGCCGAUGGCGACCGGCGCACGGGUGAGUAACACGUAUCCAACCUGCCGUCUACUCUUGGACAGCCUUCUGAAAGGAAGAUUAAUACAAGAUGGCAUCAUGAGUCCACAUGUUCACAUGAUUAAAGGUAUUCCGGUAGACGAUGGGGAUGCGUUCCAUUAGAUAGUAGGCGGGGUAACGGCCCACCUAGUCUUCGAUGGAUAGGGGUUCUGAGAGGAAGGUCCCCCACAUUGGAACUGAGACACGGUCCAAACUCCUACGGGAGGCAGCAGUGAGGAAUAUUGGUCAAUGGGCGAGAGCCUGAACCAGCCAAGUAGCGUGAAGGAUGACUGCCCUAUGGGUUGUAAACUUCUUUUAUAAAGGAAUAAAGUCGGGUAUGCAUACCCGUUUGCAUGUACUUUAUGAAUAAGGAUCGGCUAACUCCGUGCCAGCAGCCGCGGUAAUACGGAGGAUCCGAGCGUUAUCCGGAUUUAUUGGGUUUAAAGGGAGCGUAGAUGGAUGUUUAAGUCAGUUGUGAAAGUUUGCGGCUCAACCGUAAAAUUGCAGUUGAUACUGGAUAUCUUGAGUGCAGUUGAGGCAGGCGGAAUUCGUGGUGUAGCGGUGAAAUGCUUAGAUAUCACGAAGAACUCCGAUUGCGAAGGCAGCCUGCUAAGCUGCAACUGACAUUGAGGCUCGAAAGUGUGGGUAUCAAACAGGAUUAGAUACCCUGGUAGUCCACACGGUAAACGAUGAAUACUCGCUGUUUGCGAUAUACAGCAAGCGGCCAAGCGAAAGCGUUAAGUAUUCCACCUGGGGAGUACGCCGGCAACGGUGAAACUCAAAGGAAUUGACGGGGGCCCGCACAAGCGGAGGAACAUGUGGUUUAAUUCGAUGAUACGCGAGGAACCUUACCCGGGCUUAAAUUGCAGAUGAAUUACGGUGAAAGCCGUAAGCCGCAAGGCAUCUGUGAAGGUGCUGCAUGGUUGUCGUCAGCUCGUGCCGUGAGGUGUCGGCUUAAGUGCCAUAACGAGCGCAACCCUUGUUGUCAGUUACUAACAGGUUCCGCUGAGGACUCUGACAAGACUGCCAUCGUAAGAUGUGAGGAAGGUGGGGAUGACGUCAAAUCAGCACGGCCCUUACGUCCGGGGCUACACACGUGUUACAAUGGGGGGUACAGAGGGCCGCUACCACGCGAGUGGAUGCCAAUCCCAAAAACCUCUCUCAGUUCGGACUGGAGUCUGCAACCCGACUCCACGAAGCUGGAUUCGCUAGUAAUCGCGCAUCAGCCACGGCGCGGUGAAUACGUUCCCGGGCCU